RNAcentral lists this ribosomal RNA (254 nucleotides) under uncultured bacterium. Its description in RNAcentral is "partial 16S ribosomal RNA". It matches the Rfam family "Bacterial small subunit ribosomal RNA", at positions 524 to 776 of the family's 1533-position model. The record is from RNAcentral.
UACGUAGGGGGCAAGCGUUGUUCGGAUUUACUGGGCGUAAAGGGCGGGUAGGCGGCCACCGCAAGUCAGUUGUGAAAUCUCCGGGCUUAACCCGGAAAGGUCAACUGAUACUGCGGGGCUAGAGUGCAGAAGGGGCAACUGGAAUUCUCGGUGUAGCGGUGAAAUGCGUAGAUAUCGAGAGGAACACCUGCGGCGAAGGCGGGUUGCUGGGCUGACACUGACGCUGAACUGCGAAAGCUAGGGGAGCGAACGGG